This 72-nucleotide transfer RNA is filed under the name Loxodonta africana (African savanna elephant). It matches the Rfam family "tRNA". From Rfam's summary of the family: Transfer RNA (tRNA) molecules are approximately 80 nucleotides in length. Their secondary structure includes four short double-helical elements and three loops (D, anti-codon, and T loops). Lineage: Eukaryota; Metazoa; Chordata; Mammalia; Proboscidea; Elephantidae. The record is from Rfam by way of RNAcentral.
GUCCUGGUUGCUCAGUGGUUAAAGCACUCAGCUGUUACCUGAAAGGUCAGUGGUUCGAACCACUCCAUGGUA